GGUACUAUAGCUCAGUGGUCAGAGCGCCAGGCAAACGGCCUGGAGGUCAUCGGUUCGAAUCCGGUUGGUACAACUA
This 76-nucleotide transfer RNA is filed under the name Caudoviricetes sp. Its description in RNAcentral is "tRNA-Val". It matches the Rfam family "tRNA". From Rfam's summary of the family: Transfer RNA (tRNA) molecules are approximately 80 nucleotides in length. Their secondary structure includes four short double-helical elements and three loops (D, anti-codon, and T loops). The record is from RNAcentral. Lineage: Duplodnaviria; Heunggongvirae; Uroviricota; Caudoviricetes.